AACUUAAAUGAAUUGACGGGGCCGCACAAGCAGCGGAGCGUGUGGUUUAAUUCGAUGCAACACGAAGAACCUUACCAAGGCUUGACAUGCUUGAAGUAGUGAAACGAAAGUCUAACCAACUGUUAAAUCAGUAGCCUGCACAGGUGCUGCAUGGCUGUCGUCAGCUCGUGCCGUGAGGUGUUGGGUUAAGUCCCCCAACGAGCGUAACCCUUAUUGCCAGUUGUUUCUCUGGCGAGACUGCCCCGCAAAACGGGGAGGAAGGUGGGGAUGACGUCAAGUCACGCACCGGCCCUUAUGCCUUGGGCUACACACACGCUACAAUGGACGGUACAAUAGGUAGCAAUGGAGCGAUUCGGAGCUAAUCCAAAAAGCCGUUCUCAGUUCGGAUUGCAGGCUGAAACCCGCCUGCAUGAAGUCGGAGUUGCUAGUAACCGCAAGUCAGCAAAUUGCGGUGAAUACGUUCUCGGGCCUU
Molecule: ribosomal RNA, 472 nt
Filed under: uncultured Dehalococcoidia bacterium
Lineage: Bacteria; Bacillati; Chloroflexota; Dehalococcoidia
Description: bacterial SSU rRNA
Rfam family: Bacterial small subunit ribosomal RNA
Source: RNAcentral